RNAcentral lists this unclassified non-coding RNA (344 nucleotides) under Hevea brasiliensis (rubber tree). The record is from RNAcentral. Lineage: Eukaryota; Viridiplantae; Streptophyta; Magnoliopsida; Malpighiales; Euphorbiaceae.
GGGAUUGUCAACAAGACCAUAAAUUUGCAAACAGUAGAUAACAUCAACGUUGCUUAGCUCCCAAAAACAUCUAAUUUUGUGCAUAUGAACCAUGCCCAUGAGUCCCUUCCCUUCCUUAUCAGCUGUUGAGAGUAGAAAGCAUUCCUCCAGUUGCAGUUGGAAUAACUACUUCCCAACCAGGUCCUUUGAGAGGAAGGACAUUAACACAUGAUUCUGUGUUUCCAUCUUCACCUGAAGGAGGGCGGAUAAGUAGAUCACUACGGUCUAAAAUCCUCUGCAGAUCUUCGUCACUGAUAUCUGUCUGCACCAACUUGUCCUCCUCACUGUCUUGAUCUCUCAAGAGA